CCCCUAGAUGUUCUGGGCCACACGCGCGCUACACUGAACAGUUCAACAAGUCUUAACCUUGGCCGAUAGGUCUGGGUAAUCUUUGAACGCUGUUCGUGAUUGGGAUAGACCUUUGCAAUUAUGGGUCUUCAACGAGGAAUUCCUAGUAAACGCAAGCCAUCAGCUUGCAUUGAUUACGUCCCUGCCCUUUGUACACACCGCCCGUCGCACCUACCGAUUGAAUGGUCCGGUGAAAUCUCGGGACGGCGGCUUGGUCGCUUGCGUCCGACUGCUGAAACUUGAUUAAACCAUAUCAUUUAGAGGAAGGUGAAGUCGUAACA
This 320-nucleotide ribosomal RNA is filed under the name uncultured eukaryote. RNAcentral describes it as "partial 18S ribosomal RNA". It matches the Rfam family "Eukaryotic small subunit ribosomal RNA", at positions 1470 to 1796 of the family's 1831-position model. The record is from RNAcentral.